AGAAUCAACGCUGGCGGCGUGCCUAACACAUGCAAGUCGCACGAGAAAGGGGAGCAAUCCCUGAGUACAGUGGCGCACGGGUGAGUAACACGUGAAUCAUCUACCUCCGAGUGGGGAAUAACUGAGAGAAAUCUUAGCUAAUACCGCAUAACACUUACGAGUCAAAGCAGCAAUGCGCUUGGAGAGGAGUUCGCGGCAGAUUAGUUAGUUGGCGGGGUAAUGGCCCACCAAGACGAUGAUCUGUAUCCGGCCUGAGAGGGCGCACGGACACACUGGAACUGAAACACGGUCCAGACUCCUACGGGAGGCAGCAGUGGGGAAUUUUGCGCAAUGGGGGAAACCCUGACGCAGCAACGCCGCGUGGAGGAUGAAGCCCUUGGGGUGUAAACUCCUUUCGAUCGGGAAGAUAAUGACGGUACCGAUAUAAGAAGCCCGGCUAACUUCGCGCCAGCAGCCGCGGUAA
RNAcentral lists this ribosomal RNA (463 nucleotides) under uncultured bacterium. RNAcentral describes it as "SSU rRNA". It matches the Rfam family "Bacterial small subunit ribosomal RNA", at positions 26 to 523 of the family's 1533-position model. The record is from RNAcentral.